Long non-coding RNA from Mus musculus (house mouse), 1070 nucleotides. RefSeq annotates it as predicted gene, 53873. The transcript is spliced from 4 exons. Lineage: Eukaryota; Metazoa; Chordata; Mammalia; Rodentia; Muridae. The record is from RefSeq and is a predicted model, not a curated record.
CUUACAAUGGGUUCUAGACUCUUGGUAAAGAAUCAGGACAACAGGCUCCUUUUGCAGGCCCAGCCCAGGUGUGGGAUGGAACCACCACACUAAAGCUGGAUGCUAUGAGUCUUCUUGACUGCAAGGCCUUCCUCUACAUCUUAAGUUUCCAGACCACUUGCUUCUUUGUGGAACAAUGUCUGCCUUGAACUGCAGCAGUAAUUUGCCACUGCUUUCCCUGAACACUGAACUCUACGACUCUAUCAGAUGCUAGCCACGGUGAGCUUCCGCCUGAGUUUGGGGAGGGCAUAUGAUGUUGCCUCCUGCUGUCUGAUCUAUGCCAAAGCCUCCUGAGGCCCUUGCAGCCAUUAGAUCAAAUCUUUCCAAAGAUCUGUCCAGGAAACACUGAUUAGUGCAACGAGACUUCGAUCUAAGUGGGAAAAAAAAGUCUCUACUCUCUUGAAAUCACAUAAAGAUGCAUCAUGGAUAUUUUGAGUAUAAUGUGGCUCUUCCAGAGACACCCAGACUUAGCAGGCUUCACUCCCAGACCCAACCAGAAUGGGCAGAUGACAUGAUGACAAUGGUGGAAGGCAAGAGGAACAAACACAUGACAGUCCUACUCCCUGUUGACCUAAAGUGUUUCUCCAUACACAGUGAACAUAAGCUUACCCUGGUCCCUGAAGAGUACGACUGUUUUGCAAACCAUCAUCUGGCAAGUUCUCAGGAGGGCACUGUUUCCAUCUGGAAAUAAAGUUUCUGACAUGGUUUCCAAUGACACAAAUCUCAUCUGGAAAUCCCACUUCCUUUCUUGGCUUCUUAAAUCUCUGGAUCAAGAGAAGUGGGACUUCUACAGACAAGAAGCAUCCGAGCAUCCGAGCAUCCUCACAAAGCCAGGCUGUCAGGAAAGCUCUGCCCAACAGGAAGGAGGAAGAAGAGCCGCAGGUUGAGUAUCUUAUUACCCAUGCCUUGUAAAGCUCCUAGCAAGUGACCUGCAUGUAUAAUUGUGUCAUACAGAUAAUUUAUCAUUCUUAUCAUUGUGUGCAUAUAUACAAACUUACAUACAGAUUAUAUGCAUAAAUAUUUCAAAAUGC